Molecule: non-coding RNA, 46 nt
Organism: Schistosoma mattheei
Lineage: Eukaryota; Metazoa; Platyhelminthes; Trematoda; Strigeidida; Schistosomatidae
Source: Rfam
UUACUGCCGAGGAGUCCCACAAUAGGACGAAACGGCCGUUCAGUGC